This 19-nucleotide non-coding RNA is filed under the name Arabidopsis thaliana (thale cress). RNAcentral also lists the same sequence under 1 other name. Lineage: Eukaryota; Viridiplantae; Streptophyta; Magnoliopsida; Brassicales; Brassicaceae. The record is from RNAcentral.
UCCCAAAUGUAGACAAAGC